Hibiscus syriacus is the source of this 1561-nucleotide long non-coding RNA. RefSeq lists it as uncharacterized. The record is from RefSeq and is a predicted model, not a curated record. Lineage: Eukaryota; Viridiplantae; Streptophyta; Magnoliopsida; Malvales; Malvaceae. The transcript is spliced from 2 exons.
UCUUCAACAGGCUCAAAAUUCUGUUUGUUUUUUCUUCAUUUUGAAGUAUAAUUCUCCAAAAAUAGCAUGAUUUUGUUGAUGAUAAUAGUCUGAGGCACCCGAUGGAUGCCCAUGAUGGUUUUUAUUUCUGGGUUUUGCUCUCUUUUUUUUUGAUCGAAAGAUUCUCGUUUUUUUAAUUAAAUAUGCAGUUCCAAUAAAAAAAUGUUUUUCUUCCUUUAUAGGUUUCAUUAUGUAAUUAUGGUCAAUUUUAUAAUCCCUAUGAUGAUCUUUUUAUUUUAUUUAAAAAGUUGAUAGGCCUGAUUUCAAUACGAAGAAUAUCUAAUCCUGAGGGAUAUAAUAUAUUUUUCAAAUUUCAUCUAGUCUUUUGUUGUAAAUUUUUUUUGUAGAUUAUUGGUGGGGUGAUUUCUUUGAGGCUUUUAGCUCUACUAUACUGCAUCCCGAUGAUGAUGACAUGCAUUGUUAAAAGUAGUGACUGAUUGAUUAAUGAUCUGUUGACGAUAAAUACAUGAUAUUGAGGGAUGCAAAAGGAAAUUUUUUUGUAUUGUUCAUCUUUGAAUACAUCUUUUGUUAACAUUAAUCAGAUUUGCAUCUUGUAUGCAAUUCUAUGUUUUAAUAAUGUUAGCAAUGAGGCCUGCUGGUUUUAUCCUACUGUUUUGCAUCCUGAUGAUGAUGAAUAUGCAUUGUUAAAAUUAGUGCCAGAUCGGUCUACGGAUCGGUUGAUGAUAUAUAGAUGCUGAGGGAUGCAUGUUUAAUGGAACUGAGCUAUGCCAUUGCUCAUUGUUGGAUGCUUUUUUAUCAGUGUUAACUGGAGAUUUAUUUUAUAGUAUUUUGGUGUCAUCAACUGUUGGCUGAUCAUCAUCUGAGGUCUAAUUAGCGUAAUGUUACCUGUUCUGCAAACAGGUUGGGGAAAUGACAGGUUUUGUGCAUGGUGAAACAGAGGUUACUCAAUUGUGCUCGACUGCUGCCAAAAUUGGCUGAAUUUUAAUGAAGCAACUCUGCCAACUUAGAACAAGAUGAACAUUUUGCUUGGAUCAAGAAUCUGGUGAAAAUUAGAAUACAAUUUAGGUAUCACAGAUGGAGGCGAUGCAACGAGGUUCAAACCGCAGGGCCAUCCUUUAGAAGCAGUCCUGUUUGCCAUCGUCUAUGUGCCAACUCGCAAUGGAUCAUCGGUGUGUGCAAUAAUGUGAACCGUUUCUUCUCCUGGAAUUUGUGUGAUAGCCAUCCUAUUGGAAGAGGCAAGCAAGCCUACAAGGAAAACAUUCUGAGAAUGAUUGAAGCAUUGUAAAAUGCAUCAUCAUCAUCACCAGGAAAGUCCAUGGACAACCCUCAGGCGACAAAGCAGGAUCAUAUUUAUACAUGGUCAAUACUGGAUAGGUAUCUUAGUGUAAUGGCCUAACUUGAAGCCAGAAAGCAAGUUGAAAGCUUGUAACCUUCACAGUUUAAUACUAUGCAGCUGUUGACAGGCUUAGCCUUAGUUUCUUGCAGUAAUUGCAGGAUUGUGCUGCAACUUUGAUGUUUGUGGUAUCGGUCCAUUUCAAAUAACACCCUUCAUCUUUUUCCA